This is a long non-coding RNA of Rhinichthys klamathensis goyatoka, 140 nucleotides long. RefSeq lists it as uncharacterized. The transcript is spliced from 3 exons. The record is from RefSeq and is a predicted model, not a curated record. Lineage: Eukaryota; Metazoa; Chordata; Actinopteri; Cypriniformes; Leuciscidae.
CACACACACACACACACACACACACACACACACAUCAAAGAGAUCCAUACUGUACCAUUAUUUCACAGAAAUCAAUAUAAAACAGAAACAGUUAUAUAGUUCAGUAGUUUGAGGUUUAACAGAUAAUGCAUGUACAGAUA